RNAcentral lists this ribosomal RNA (480 nucleotides) under uncultured bacterium. Its description in RNAcentral is "partial 16S ribosomal RNA". It matches the Rfam family "Bacterial small subunit ribosomal RNA", at positions 28 to 507 of the family's 1533-position model. The record is from RNAcentral.
GACGAACGCUGGCGGCGUGCUUAACACAUGCAAGUCGAACGAUGAAGAAAAGAAUCGAAGCUUCGGCAGAAAUUCAUUUCGGAUUAGUGGCAGACGGGUGAGUAACGCGUGAGCAACCUACCUCUUACAAAGGGAUAGCCUCGGGAAACCGGGAUUAAUACCAUAUAACAUUGCGACGAAGCAUUUCGAUGCAAUCAAAGCUACGGCGGUAAGAGAUGGGCUCGCGUCCCAUUAACCGGAUGGUGAGGUAACGGCUCACCAUAGUGACGAUGGGUAACCGGCCUGAGAGGGCGAACGGUCACACUGGAACUGAGACACGGUCCAGACUCCUACGGGAGGCAGCAGUGGGGAAUAUUGCACAAUGGAGGGAACUCUGAUGCAGCGACGCCGCGUGAGUGAUGAAGGAAUUCGUUUCGUAAAACUCUGUUCUAUGGGAAGAAAAGGACUGUACCAUAGGAGAAAGCUCCGGCUAAAUACGUG